Molecule: ribosomal RNA, 252 nt
Filed under: uncultured bacterium
Lineage: Bacteria
Description: partial 16S ribosomal RNA
Rfam family: Bacterial small subunit ribosomal RNA
Source: RNAcentral
UACGUAAGGACCGAGCGUUGUCCGGAAUCAUUGGGCGUAAAGGGUUCGCAGGUGGAAAUGCAAGUCAGAUGUAAAAGGCAGAAGCUUAACUCCUGUAAGCAUUUGAGACUGCAAAUCUUGAGAAGAGUAGAGGUAAGUGGAAUUUUUAGUGUAGCGGUGAAAUGCGUAGAUAUUAAAAAGAAUACCGGUGGCGAAGGCGACUUACUGGGCUCAGUCUGACGCUGAGGAACGAAAGCGUGGGUAGCAAACAGG